Molecule: long non-coding RNA, 918 nt
Organism: Nylanderia fulva
Lineage: Eukaryota; Metazoa; Arthropoda; Insecta; Hymenoptera; Formicidae
Source: RefSeq, a predicted model, not a curated record
UACUUUGCAUUUUUGCUGCAGCUGCUCGAUUUUCUAUUUCGCAUAUCUAUUAUUUUUGGAAAAUGCAGAAAAAACAGUCAGCGUCUCUUGCCGAAAUAUAUUCUGAUAUAACCUUAACAAGAUUUUUCGAGGCAUAUAUAUCGAAAAGUAAUACAUUUUAUCAUGAUUGAAUCUGUUCCGUUUUUCGCGGCUGGCUGCGCCUGGUUACGCUUCCACUUGUUUCCCCGAUUCUCGAUUGCCGACGUUGCGAAUCGACCACGAGGAUGCCGACGAUGGACACGAAUAAUAGCUGCGAGAGACGACGCGCGAAUAAAACGCUCCGGCUCCUGUCGAGAAUACAUUAGCGUACUUGAUGAACCUGAUCAGCUUUAACGGAAUAAAUUAAAAAUGUAUAUUAAAAGCAAAGAGUUGUCGUUCUUCGUAGAAUGAUUAAUUGUCCGGAUACAGUCGAGGAAGAACGUCGUCGUCAGCGGAGCGCGGAACGUUUCUUGAACCGCGCGACUCUCCUCCUUCGUCGCCGUCGCCGCCGCGAGGGGUCCGGGCCGUUUUUCUCCGCCGCGCUCCGUUGACGCCGCUCCAUCAGAGCGGUUGCCACGCUUGAGACGCGGUGGGACGUUACCAGCGGCGAGAGACCGACGCGAGCAAAAAACGCAACCUUCGUGCUUAAAGCGAAACGAGAGGCAUGCCACGGUGACGACCGCACCGUUGCACCUGCAUCUCCUCGUUGCGCUCCUCUUGUUGGCACUCCUACCUUACUGAUCCCUUACCGCGGGAUACCGAGAAUGCCCGCGAGCGCAUAACGCAGCGCAGCUCCGCUUCACUCUUCUGCCUUUCGACAGAUUUUUUUUCAUACAUUAUAUAGAAUUAUAAGUAAUAUGUACAGUUUUGUAUUCUAAAAGUAAAAUGUUUUAUUUCUGA